RNAcentral lists this transfer RNA (72 nucleotides) under Chloroflexota bacterium. RNAcentral's name for it is "tRNA-Lys". It matches the Rfam family "tRNA". From Rfam's summary of the family: Transfer RNA (tRNA) molecules are approximately 80 nucleotides in length. Their secondary structure includes four short double-helical elements and three loops (D, anti-codon, and T loops). Further hydrogen bonds mediate the characteristic L-shaped molecular structure. tRNAs have two regions of fundamental functional importance: the anti-codon, which is responsible for specific mRNA codon recognition, and the 3' end, to which the tRNAs corresponding amino acid is attached (by aminoacyl-tRNA synthetases). tRNAs cope with the degeneracy of the genetic code in two manners: having more than one tRNA (with a specific anti-codon) for a particular amino acid; and 'wobble' base-pairing, i.e. permitting non-standard base-pairing at the 3rd anti-codon position. The record is from RNAcentral. Lineage: Bacteria; Bacillati; Chloroflexota.
GGGCCGGUAGCUCAGCGGUAGAGCAGGGGACUCUUAAUCCCUUGGUCGUGGGUUCGAAUCCCUCCCGGCUCA